UAAACUUUUAUUGAUAUCAAGUAAAUGUAGCAAUUACAACUUAAAACUAAAUAAAUCAAAGAGAAGUUUAAGAAAACCAAGACUAAAGCUUAGAUUUUUUUCCUCAAAGCCUCUCUAUUUUUCUCUUUGAUCUCUACUAACUCUUAUGUAGUCCCUUAAUAUGUUUUCAAUAGAGGCUGAUGAGAAAUAAGAGAGUAUUUUUAUUAUAUCCCCCAAAAAACCCUUAAAACCCUAGUAAAAUCGGACCAAACCACUCCAAAAACUAACAAAAAUCGCCCAAAAUCGAACCAAGCAAGGUUUGUAGCGCGCUUCAACAGCGCACUCAGUCCGGCCUGAAAAACAUUCUCGACUUCUUUAUGUGAAAUUUGUGCUGAGCAUAUCGGACCAGCCUUGGUAUGGCCUUAGGUCUGGCCUGCAAAUUCUCUAUUGCUUCUUUUUAAUUCAAUAGAUGACCUAAAUUUCAAGGGGCAUAUCUUGGACGUCUAAACUCCAAAUUGAGGAAUUAUUUAGCCUAAAAUGAAGUUCAAAAUGUCUACUCUAAUUUCUAUGUUUUACGAUUUUUCUGAUUCCAUCAUUUUCUUGCCCAAAAUGCCCUUGACAAUUUAGUGCUACAUUUGAUAUAGCUUUCGGAGUGCUCCUUGGUAUGAGGCUUGUAUCUCCCUCAUCUUAGCACCAAAUGGCCUGAUUCCAAUUAAAAAUUUGAAGUAGACUCAAAAUGCUAUAAAUUUGGAGCUUUUCAUCCCAAGACUGGUUCCAGAUUGCCUCCUCCAAUCCUCUAAAUUCGACCAAUCUACGAAAUCGAAAGAUACCCUUUUGAAGUUCCAAUCUUCAAAUUUUGCCUUGGCUUCCAAACUUUUGAGAACUCAUACCUACAUCAAAAUCACACCAAAAUAAGUGUAAAUCACCUAUGAAACCACAAUAAACAUAAACAAAUAGGAUUGACACUUAUAUGGUGCAAAUGUAGGAGAAAUGCACGAUUUAUGCUCUAAACCUAGGCUAAAUUCCCCUAAACCUUAUGUCUCGAAGCCCUAAUAAAUAUGUGUAUUUCACACACAUCAGAGGUUUAUUAUUAAACAUUUCAAGGUUCUUCUGAAGAUUUCUAGAAGCACAAGUUCUUUAAAAGGAAUUUUAACAUAAUGUUAUUAAUUGGAGACAUAUAUCUCUAAAUACAUCCAUAGUCAAUAUUACUCAUUGUGCUUCAACACCUUUUGAACUCAACCAGGGGUCUGCUUAUGCAUCUGCAAAGUAGUUUGAGACAUUACAAGUUACUUAUAAAAAGAUCUACCAAGUGAAAUAAAUAAAGAUAAAUGUUCUAAAAUGUAAUUAUGAGAUGUUUCAUACGAGGAAAAUUAAAACCAUUACUAAAAUAAUACAUGGUGUACUGAUUUCUAUAUAUCACUUGAAAUCGCUCAAAUGAUGAGAUCUCUUCCAAAGCGGAAAAUAAGAAAAAGGAAGGAGUAGCCUUAGUAGCCCACUCAAAGGAUAAUAGUGCAAAUUCACAUGAUAAUGAGAACAUCGCUGCACUAGCUUGGAAAAUGAAAAGGUUUUUCAAGAAAGGUGGUAGGAAGAAUAGAAGACCAUUCUGAAUGAUCAACUUCUCUGAAUUUGAUUUAGGGCACAAGUAGACAUCUGACUAGUCUACUAAAAUGCAACAAACACAGUCAUCUAAAGGCAAACUGUCAUCAAUUGAAAAAGAAAUAGUGAUGGAUCAUCUCAUAGUGAUGAUGACCAAUAAGAUGGAACUGUAAUAGCAAACUUAUGUUUGAUGCUAAAAAAAUAUAUGACUAAUCCAAUUUAGACAGUUAAGAUAAGGUAUCUGAUUCUGACUUUGCUCAUGAUGAUAUUAAGUUCACUGAGUUGCAUAUAUAAAAUUUGCAUCACUCAAGGGCUCAAUCAUUCACCUCAUAUGGAUCACAUAUAAAAUGAGUUUUUGCAUAGUAAGGUUGAAAAAGUAAGCAAUGAUCUAUCUAAUAUUGUGAAACAUGAUCAAUAUCUCCUUAAGCAUAUUUGAAAAUGUUGAUUUUAUAAGAAUGAAAAACAACUUGAAAUUCUGAUUCAAAUAGUGACCUAAUGUUAAGAUUGAAUUUCAAAAGAGAAUUUUUGAGAUCAUAGAAAAACAUAUAGCUAAUUCAAUUUUUAAGGCUAUCAUUCUUAGGAAUAUAUUAUGGAGCUUUUCUUAUUAGUCUUCCCAUUCUAAUACUGCAUCAUUAUCACAUCCAUAUCAUAAUAUUUUUACUUUUGGGAGUGACUAUAAUAAAACUCUCUAUAGGCAUUGCUCUCUUUAUUAUCUUGUUAGACAUCUGUAUGUAGCAUGCUAUAAGAAAAAAGUGUGUAUGAGAAAUGUUUGGAGUCCCAAAAGGAACCAAAUCUAACCUGCUAACCAUAUAGGACCUAAUCAAGAUUGGGUACCUAUAUUUAAGUGAUUACAUGCAGGUAUGUCUUAGCAGCAAGUAGUAAAUAGAUGACUGAUGCAUAAUUAGUAGUUGCUCAAGAAAGACGAUUAAGGAUGAAAAUACGUUCUCAGAAAUCCAAAUAGAUAAAAGUGGAUACGUGAAACAUGAAGAUAAAAGCAAAGGGAAAACCACUGAAAAUAAUUAUGAAAUGGGAUCCCUAACUAAAGAAGUUUCAUUAAUAGAAGAAUUAAAGGAAAAAAUCUAUUGAGUGAGAGUCAGCUGAUUGAUAAAAGGAGAAGAGUCAUCUUUGAGACAACCACUAUUAGGUUCAAUCUACUCUUGAUUAUCAAGCUUAUUUAUUAAACCAUAAAUAAGUAAUGCUUAUAUGGUUGACUUAAAUGAAUGCAAACUAAAAUUGGAUGUCUUACUUCUGUUAAAGAUACAAGUUGGCCAAGUAUAAAAGAUUAUUAUUAUCUAGGUCUUUAAAACUAUUUGAUUUUGCUUUGUUUCGUUUGUCACAUAUGAAAAUCUGAAUGGAAAUAAUUAUAAAUUUGUAAUAAUGGAUGAUUGUCCUAGAUAUACAUAGGUCAUGUUCAUUGCAUCAAUAGUAGACAUUUACACCGCUUUCAUCCAUUUUUGCUUUAGAAUUCGAAAGAGAAAGAAUAUUUCACCACAUUCACUAAAAGCAACCAUGGGAAGGAAUUUGACAAUGAAUUCAUAUAACUUCCUAGUCCCAAGAACCUUACAAUGGAAUGCAUGAGAGAAAGAAUAGAAUCCUAAGAGAUGGCUCGAAACGAGAUACAUGAGAGAAGUCUACCAAUAUAUUUCUUUGCAAAAGCCUCAAACACAUAGCCUAUUGUACCAUAAACAACAUUUUGAUAAGAUCAUUUAUUGGUAAGACAUAUUUUAUGUUGUUAAAAGGAAGAAAGCUUAAUUUUUCAUAUGUUCAUGCAUUUGCAUGUAAAUGUUAUAUCUUUCAAUGAAUGAACCUUAUUUGUUGAAGAAUGAAUGCAUGUGAUAUUUGAUGUAUCUAACCAUUCUUUGGAAAGAAAAAGCAAAAAUGAUGAUACAGGAAACUGAUCUAGAAAAUGAAAAAGAAUUAGAUAAGAAUAAUUUAAAUGAAGAUGAGACGUCUGAUGGGACAUCUGAUAUACUUGAAGACAACUUAAACAGUUAGACAUCUGAUCUACCUAACAAUUGAAAGUAUCAUAAGGAUCGUCCAAGUGAGAGGAUACUAAACAACCUAUCACAAGGGGGAUUAACUAAGAUCAACACUCAUAUAUACUAAUGGCAAUGUAGCUUUUUCACCUCAAAGAGAGCGAUAAUCUUAUGAUGGAACUCAAAUUCUUAAAAAUUAUACAUCUACCAUAGAGAUGAGCUAAAUCAGUUUGAAGGAAAUCAUGGAAGCUGAUACCUAGACCUAUAAAUAACUCUAUCAUAAAAAACAUAUGGGUAUCUAGAAAUAAAAUAGAUGAGCAAGGAAUAAUUAUACAAAUCAAAGCUAGAUUAGUUGCCCAAAGCUAGAAUCAAGGCAAAGAUAAGUCUUAUAGGAGAAUCCAACUUCUUCUUGAGUUUGCGAAUCAAGUGAACAAGUAAAGAAAUCUUCAUUUGUCAAAAUUAUAUACAUCAAGGAGUUGACAAAGAAUUUCAAGUUUGAUAGUCUAAAGAGCAUUAGAGAUCUAAUUAGCAAACAACUAAACUUAAGAAAGAUGAGACUGGAAAAUCAAUUGACAUCAAAAUAAAUUGACGAAUGAUCAGAUUCCUACUAUAUUUGACAGCCAAUAGACUAGACAUCUGAGCUAGCAUAUGCAUGUAUAACAUAUCCCAUGCAAUAUCUAAGGAGCCUCAUCAAAUCACUAUGAAGAGGAUAUUCAAAUAUCUGAUUAGGACUAGUAAUUUGGGUCUAUGGUAAGCUAGGUGUAAUUCUUCUAAUUUAUGUUGGAUAUAGUGAUGUUAACUAUAUAGAAAGUAGAGUUGAGAAAAAGAACACAUCAGACAUCUGCCAAUUCCUUAGACAUUGCUUGAUUUCUUGAUUACAUAAAGAAAGAAAUAGGCGUCUAUUGCACUAUUGACUGUUGAAGCAUUAUACUUCAGUAGGCAGCUAUGGUGCUGAGGUUUCUUGGAUAAAGCAUCAAUAAAAAGACCAUGGCUUCCACUCUAAGGUGAUGUAUAUUAGGUGUAAUAACAUUGGGGCCAUCAAGCUCUCAAAGAACCUUGCUCAACAUGAAAAAUUGAAAAAAUCAAUAUCAAACAUCUUUUAUAGGACCAUGUUCAAAGAAGGAGACAUCCAAGACUUCAUCAAAUCAAUAGACAUCUAAAGCUUUAAUAAAAGCCAUUAAAGAAUAUCAAUAUUGGAAAAUUGGAAGAUCACCUAGUACGGGCACUAAUUCUUUAUGCUUAUGUGUGCAAAUUCAACUAAUUUACUUUCUAUGCAUAUUUAACCGUUAGUCAUCUAAGUCUCAAUAUUAAGGUGAGCCCCUUCAUCUAAUAUUGAAAAUUAAAUAAGUAAAUAUGUGCACUACAUUCCAUAGAAAAGUGAAUUUAAAUAUUUAAAAUAUUUUUCUUUAUCAUAUAUUUUGAAGAAUCACUUUCAAUCUUGAAAACUNNNCUUUCUCUCUACUUUUCAAUUAUAAAGCAAAGAAUUUAUCAUUUGUAAGUUUUCAAGAUUGAAAGUGAUUUUUCAAAUAUAUGACAAAGAAAAAUAUUUUAAAUAUUUAAAUUCACUUUUCUAUGGAAUGAUGAAGGCUUUGAUAAAAACGGAUACUUGAGAUGUCUAUUAUGACAAAAGUGUUGGAAAAUAUAACUAUUGGCAGAAGAGCUAAAAAAGAAAACAACUAGAAAUUUUAUCUAUUGAAGUAAGUAUUGCUAUUCCUAAGAUGGAGAUAUAAGUGCUAUUGAAUCCAUUUAUGAUUAUUUUAAAUCUAAAAGAGUAAGAAAAUCAAUAAUUUGAGAUGAGAUAUCUAAGAGAAGCUCCACAAGGAUAACAAUUGGAUAAAAAUGAUCAAAAGAAAAGCAUGUUAAACUCAACAGAAAUUUGCAAGUUCUCUCUUAAAAAGUUUUUAUGAAAAGACUUUUCAAAAUAAUUUUCUUUUGACUUUGGACAUUAACUUGCAUUUGUAUGCUGUUUUGAAUUAAUUUGGAUAUUUUUUACCUUUUUAUUGUUUACAGAAAAAGGGAGAAAUUUAGGAUAAAUCUAGCAUGUCUAUAUGUAGAUUACUACAUAAGCUUAGGGGGAGCUUAACAAUGAAAAAUAGCAUUAGCAGUCUAUUUAUAUUUGAGUCAUCCAAGCUUAUUUGCUAUUAUUAUAUUUUGCCAUAGUUUCAAGGGGAGCUCCAUUCUUUGCUUAAGUGUUAGACGUCUACUCUUUAUAGGCAUCUAUUUUGUGAUAUAAAGCUAAAAAUGCAGCUCAGAUCUAUAAGCACAAUCAUUUUAUACCAUUGUUUGCUCUGAUGAUUUAAUUGAUCUAUUUUUCUUGUUACUGUGUGCUGGUUUUCUCAUCAUCAAAAGAGAGAGAUUGUUAGCCCCAAGAAGCUAAUAAUCUAAGUUUUGAUGAUAACAAAAUAAUGUGUUGUUUGAUAUUUAUACAUAUGAAUGUUGGAUAUUUAUUACAAGAUGAAAUAAUCUGAUUAAGAGGAGAAAAGCUUAGAAGAUUGAUGUGACCUAUAUUUGCAAUCAUCAGAAGUUAUCGUACAUGAAAGAAUUAGAUGACUCAAUAAACUGAUCAGAUGACUAAGUAUCUAAAAGGCUAUUGAGAAAUAUAAAGAAAACAUCAGAAGCCUACCUUCGUAGAGCUUAAUAGAAUCAGAUAUCUUAAAAGUUAGAUGUCUUAAGACAGUUUAAACAGUGGUGAGUUAGUCCUCUUGUUAAAUAGAUCAGCUUUGACCUCUUGCAUUAAAUUAAUUUCUCAUGUGCAAAACCUUAAAAACACAUCCAUUAAUUUUUCAUAUGUAGCUUUGGUUUUAAUGAACACCACAAUACCCUUUAACUUUAAAAUCAUAUUCAUUCACAAUGCAAUACCUCUAAUUUUAAUUUUAAUGCACACUAUAAAAUAUUAUAUUUUGUAUUUUUGAAAAGUGGAUUUUAUGCCAAAAAGUUUAUUUCUUAAAUUCGUUCUCCUCAUGUUUUACCUAAUGGUUGAAGAGUUCACUGCCAUUCUUAGAAGCCUUAGUGAGUGCACCCAUUCAAUUGCUUUACCAUGACUUGAUGAUCAUUUCCUAGCAAACUAGUGGAGUUCAUCAUGCCCCUAGCUGGGUACUUUCCGACACUAUGGGUGAAUAUGUAAUCCUUACCUCUCUGAUUGCUUGCUACGAUAAGAAGGAAAGGGGUAUAACCUGUUUGGAUUAGAAUUGUGAGCUUCUUCCAUUAUGUCCAAUUCCUGCUAGUUUUUCAUAAAGAAGGAAGAUAUAUUUAGAUUGCUGGCAUUAAGAAUAGGUGGAGCGUGGUGCUAAUCUAGUUCUAGUGAUUCUAGAUGAAGCCAUCAUUAGCUUAGACAUAUACAAAACCCAUCAAAGGUUUAAUAGUAGUCUCUUCCUCUUUUAAGUAAGAAAACAAAUAUCUUUAUUUUGUUAAUGCUUUAAUUUUUUCCUAAGUCAUCAUUUCAGUUUCUCAACUUAGUAGACUAAUGUUUUAACUUUCGUAUUUAUAAAGAAUANNNGGGGGGUGGGGGGGGGGUGGUUUCAAGAGCGCACCCAAGUGUCUCUAGCGACUACGAUACUGCAAGGCUUUUCAACCUAAUAGGAACACGCUAACUAAUCAUAGAGACUAGCGUGGAAAUGGGAGUUUCUUGUCGGGUAAUUCUCUGGGACACUUUCUCUAAUUGAAUGGCAUUUCUCGAUUCCAUAAGAAAGCUUCGCCACAUCGAGAGAUGGAUUCAAAAGCUAACUUCAUUAUUCUACAAGCAUCCAUUACACCAUGUGAGGUCCUCCUAAGUCUAGCCUAUUUUAUUUAAGCUCAAUCCGUGCUUAAUUUAUUAGCCUACUUAACUAUUUAAUUAUGUAUAAAGGUCCACUUAAUCUAUCCCAAUUACAAGUUAUGCAUUUAAUUUCCAGCCUUUAAACUUAAAUGGAGUACUUUUUAUAUUAAGGCCCAAUUGGAUCAUUCUUUUUCUAAUAUGACCCAUUUAAUUAAUUAAAGCAUGGCAAAACCUACUAAGUCUAUAUGGAUUUUCGUUUUAGGCCCAAUUUACCAUCCUUUAACCUAAUAAACUAUAACUUUCAUGCCAAGUCCAAUUUUAAGUCUAAUGUCUAUGUGUCCAGUUUUAAUUAAACAAUUAAGCAUCAAAUAUUUAGCACCAAGCAAAAACAAAGUGCAUGAAUAUUAAAUCUAGCUACAACUAAAAAUAAAUAAAAAAACGCAUAAAAAUAAGUUACACUAUACCAAAAUUGCAUAAAAUCCAAAAAUAGGGAAAAAUUGGUGUAGAAUCGAAUCGGCACUAUACAGAGCUGAUCAGCUCUAAGGCUUCAUCACGGUCAAUUUUGCAUUUUGUCUUGAUUCCCCUCGCCUAAAAGCCAACUU
RNAcentral lists this long non-coding RNA (7907 nucleotides) under Ricinus communis (castor bean). RNAcentral's name for it is "long non-coding RNA (RCOM_LNC000232)". Lineage: Eukaryota; Viridiplantae; Streptophyta; Magnoliopsida; Malpighiales; Euphorbiaceae. The record is from RNAcentral.